CCUCGUCGAUCUGCUGCGGGCAGAUCCAGUGGAUGUGGCUGUCGAUGCCGCCGGCCGUGACGAUCAGCCCCUCGGCUGCGAUCACCUCGGUGCCCGGGCCGAUGACGAUGUCCACGCCGGGCUGGAUGUCCGGGUUGCCGGCCUUGCCGAUGGCGGCGAUGCGGUUGCCACGCAGGCCGAUGUCGGCCUUGACGAUGCCCCAGUGGUCGACGAUCAGCGCGUUGGUGAUGACGCAGUCGACCGCGUCGGCGGCGCCCGGUCCGUUGACGCGCUGGCCCUGGCCCAUGCCGUCGCGGAUG
This 299-nucleotide small RNA is filed under the name Leptothrix cholodnii SP-6. Its description in RNAcentral is "5' ureB small RNA". It matches the Rfam family "5' ureB small RNA". Lineage: Bacteria; Pseudomonadati; Pseudomonadota; Betaproteobacteria; Burkholderiales; Sphaerotilaceae. The record is from Rfam by way of RNAcentral.